RNAcentral lists this long non-coding RNA (4150 nucleotides) under Coffea arabica (coffee). Its description in RNAcentral is "long non-coding RNA (CARA_LNC007691)". Lineage: Eukaryota; Viridiplantae; Streptophyta; Magnoliopsida; Gentianales; Rubiaceae. The record is from RNAcentral.
AAAUACUUUCAAACUUCCCAUCCUGUAAGGAAAACAAAUAAACAUGGGGUGAGCUAAAGCUCAGUGGUGCCCCAAAUCAUGCAGUCACGCAAAUCAGACAACGAGUAAUAACUUAAACAGAUUUAACAAAUAGGAAAGCGUUUAACAGCACAAGGUAGGAUACAGGGGCUCUCAGGAGCCAUUUUCCUCGCUUGAUCACCAUUUAUCGUAGUUGACCCUCCGUCAACUCUCACUACCUAAAUUCCAUGUAGACCACCUUAUUUUGAUACCUAUCCCGUCACCAAUCAUACCCCGAUCCCGGGCCCGCUCGCCGACUAAGGACGUAGUAUACUCGAGAUAUACUCGUCAUGGUAGUUGGUACAGGGGUCGUGGGAUUCACCCAACGACUCAACUACGUUUGGAUUUAUGGUAGUUAGAUACAUGCGUCGAGGGAUUCACCCAACGACGUAACUACUUUUAGAUUCAUGGUAGUUAGAUACAUGCGUCGAGGGAUUCACCCAACGACGUAACUACAUAUUGAAUCAAGGAUUCAGGAGGAAAUUGUUUUUGCACAAGUUACCACUCGAACGGCUAGUGUGGUAAAGUACACACAGCUCACUUCGAUGGAUCAAAAACUCAUUUUACAAUUUAUCACGUAUCAAGUCAAGAAAGCACUUAAUUCAAGUAGGAAAUGAACAGACAGGGACACUCACCAAGAGUGGAGUUCAGAUAUCGGGUUGGGAGUCGAAUUCCGUGUCCUCGAGAAAUCCUAGAAACCAAAUUUUGAAACUAUAAGUUUCUAUUUAGUUAUUAAACUUAUUCGUGCAAGAAUUUAUUUAAUUUAAUACUAGUUUACUUUCUCGAAAGAUUUCAAAAAUCUAAGUAGAUUGAGGCUUGACAAAAGUAGUAAAAGUAUUUCUUAUUAUUAUUUUUUUAUCCUUAGAGAAGGGUAUCUGGUAUUACUUACUAGAAUCAAGUCGACAAAUUUCUCAAAAUCAAAGUUAGAAGGUUACUUUGAAUAUUUCUCUAAAGUUACGGCUUUUUUCAAAAAAAUUACCCUUAAAACCAUUUUUCCUAGAAUAGGGUUUUCUUGCCGAGCAAGUCUCCCAAGCUUUUCACUAAAGUCGGUAAAACUCGUAUUUUAAAACUUUCUUAUAGUUGACUAUCCAAGUGCAAAGUUUAGGGAAAGAAAAGAAUUAAACUAAGACUUAGAGUUUCCGAAAGCUAUACAACUUAAUUACAAGAGCUGUCAAGGCUAGUUUGAGCGGAAGGAAGUUAUUGAAUUGGAAAGUUUUAGGCAAAACACUAGAUAUAGAGUUUUAUAAUAUAAUUCUAGCUGGAGAGUAUUUUUGGAUAAUCUUGAACGCAGCUACUCGAGUUCGUAGGGUCUAUACAAUUUUCCUUGCUCCGGUUCCGUUUCGAAAUCACAAUACAGAUCAAGGUAUGGCAAAAAUCACAUAGCAAACUUACUAAGGCUUCGUCAAUCAUUAGCCUUAGCUUUCAACAAUUGCAUUUCCGAAUAAUAUAAAAUAGUCAACCAAGGCUUCAUCAAUCAUUAGCACUUGGUUUCAGCAAACCCAACAUAAGCAAGUCAACUAAAAGUGAAGUCCCAUGACAUUCUAGCAAUUUAAUUUCCAUCAUCCAGUAAUACUUUAUAAAAUCAUUUCAAUGGCUAAGGGCUUCAUCAAUCAUUAGCCCCUAGCACCCAACCAGAAAUUUUCGUGACAACCAAGCUAACAUUCUCAAAUAUUUAAAUCUACUAACAGUUAUUUAAACCCAAAGAUCACAUUUGCAGCGGCCUCCGACUCAAGUCUUUGAUCCAAAGCCAAGAAUACCAUCCACAAUAUCACAUUGUCACCCCGAUAUUCAAAUGCAUGACUAUCUCAAGGUAUUAUAAAGCAAAUUCAAAAGUAGUACAAUUUUUCCACAGCUCCAAGAUAUAUAAAGUAAACCAUACGUAAUUCUUUAUCAAUCAUGACCAAGGCUGAAAAUUUCCAGCUUAUAUCCUAAACUGCCCUUUACUUAUUUCGAAAUCGAAUUCCCAAGAUAUCAAAUGGUUUAUUGCCAAACAGAUUCCACAGGCUACUUGUGCAUUUAAUCAUGCAUUUCGAGUUCCUAACAACUUAAGGAAAUAAAUUCUAAAGUCAAGCUGAAGACUCUGGUUCAUAAUCAAAUUCGAGCAAUAUAGUUAAACCUCCCAAAAUUUUCAAAAAUCUGUUUAGUAAACCACGGAUGAAUUAUGCAUGAAGGGAAUUUUCUGUUUUUACUUCAUUUACUCGGGUGAAGCAGGCCAUUAAACCCUCACUUCCUCAUGAAAUUUGCUUAGUUAAACAAUGCACAAUUUCCGUUCAGAAGUUGGAGUUAAACCACUGUUACAAUCUUCAAAGUUUCCAGGUUCAAGUUAACGGUAAUUCGCAAAGAAAUUCCAGAAAUAGAAAUGAUUCCAGAACAGAAUUUUUCUUUGGUUAAAACAGGAUUUUUGGUACUCUAUUAGCUCUUGAAAACAUGUAGCUAGCUAGUAAAGAUUUCCAAAGCAAAUCCAGGUUCAUACUACAACUGUACUCAUCUAACAUAAAUCCAGAAUUUAUAUCCACUAAGCUCGGAUGAUAGUUCAUGAAAUAAUUUUCUGUUUUCAUUUUUAUUUUCCUGGUUAGCCCAGUUACAAAACCUUAUGCAAACUUCGAUUAACAUGUUGUUAACUAGCUAAUCAUACACAUUAACUCGUACAAGCCCCAUAAUCUCAGAUUGAGGACUAAAAAUCCAAUUCCAGGUCUCGGAAAUUUCAGGUCAUACGAAUUCCCAAUUCACUUAAACCAGAAUUUUUUUCCAAGUUCCCCAAUUCAUUAUCCACUCGUGCAACUCAAUGUGCAGGCCCUUAGGCAUUUUAUCUUCCCUUAGUUAGUUAAGAUAAUAACCACAGCUCAUCAAAAUUAGGCUAAUUAAACAAAUCAGUCCUUAGUCAUGCUCGGCAGAAGAUGGACAUCAAACUAGAAUCUCUUAGGUUCUUUAAUUCAUCAAUUAACUUCAAAGAAUUGACAUGCAGGGUCUUAGCCAUCAUCAACAUUGAGAUUCACUCGGUUACUUACACUUGAGAGCUCAAGUAAUCACAAGCAAGCAGAAUUUCAGUUGCAAUUCCAUACCAUUCUUCUCGGCAGAUUCAUGCACAACCAAAACAGAAUUUUCUAAUCUCAUUAGUUCCUUAUCUGCCAAUAUCUUCAGUUGAGGCCUUUUAUUUUGCCCUUAAAUCACACAUGCACAAUUUCUGAAUUUAUUAGCUAACAAGUCAGUCCAGAAAAUUCAGCUCGGCAGCAUUAACACAUUCAUAAAUCCAGAAAUUGUGGGACUACACUCGGUGCUUGUAUGAAAAGGAUUUCUGUUUUCAUCUCUUAUUUUCCAGAUUAAUCCAGGCUAAUUAAUUUCAUGCAUGACACUAAUCGUAAUAAUCAUCCAAGGUUCGAUUAGUUAAUCACCUACACCUGCUCAAAUCAUUUCCAAAAGACGCACUGAGGCUGCAAUCCCAAAUCAGCCACUCGGCAGGGACAUCUAACCGAAACAGAAAAUUUUUCUAAUAUCUUAAGUUCAUCAUCCGAACACUUAGAUUGACAUGCAUGACCUUGAGCAUCAUGUUUAGUGUUAAGUAACCGUAUAUAUGAGCUCAGAUUACUUCAAUUAAGCAAUGAUCAAGUCUGCAUUUCUGAUUCAAGCUCACGGCAAAACCAAUUCUUCCCAAAACAGAUUUCUCAUUCAUUCAUUUUUUUUUUCGUCUGACUACAUAAACAACACAAGCAUGCUCUGAUAUAACUUCAUCUAUUGAUACUUGACUUAAAUUUAACCCAAAAAAAUUACCUCAGAAACCAGCUAAGCCCACACACAAGAAAUUUGAAAUUCCUAUCCUCCGCUCGGCUCACACGCACGGUUUUGGUUCUGGUUUUGGUAGCUGUAAAGUUGCGACUGGAGCUGCUGAGAUGCGGCUUGGUUGAAGUCGAAAAUGGUCACAGCUAGAAGAGGGAAGGGUGUAGGUCAAAUGUUCUCACGCGGUGGUCUCCUGGCUUCCUCCCUCAGCUUGCGGACAGAACAGGAAAUUUUCUGCUCAGGGAUUUCUUUUCUUCUUGCUCUCAGUUACAGCAGGUAACUCCCUCUCCUCUCGGUCGAUACUCACGAUGCAAUGUGG